CUGCCCCGGCGAGGGGCCGAGCCGGCGGGACGGGCAGGAGCGGGCCCGAGCGCGGCUCCUUCUCGGCUCCUGUGUGGCUCCCGCCGGGCCCCGUCCGGCCCCGGCGCGGCAGGGCAUCGAUGGCUGCCGGGCUCGGGCCGUGGCUCCUGUCCAUGGCAUUGGCCUUGGGGCCGGCAGGGGUGUGGGCGCAGCUGAGGCUGGUGGAGGCCGGCGGAGGGCUGCGAGCUCCCGGGGACUCCGUGCGCCUCUCCUGCCGCGGAUCCGGCUUUGACUUCAAGGAUUACUACGUUUAUUGGUACCGUGAGGCCCCCGGUGGUGGUCUCGAGUGGGUGUCCUACAUCAGUGCACUCUCGGGUACUAUGAAGAAGUACGGGCCAACAGUGGAAGGUCGAGCCACAGUGUCCCGUGACAAUUCCCGGUCGGAGUCCUCUCUGUCCCUGAGUGCCCUGCAGCCCCAGGACUCUGCCCGCUACUUCUGUGCCAUUGACACAGAGACAGGAAAUCCAGCUGAGCUUUAACAGAAACCUGCUGGGGCCCAGCCCAGGUGCAAGAGCAAUGGGCCAGGGGAGUGCUGUGAUGUGUGUGAGGUCACCUGUGGCUGUUUCCAGCAGUGAGGGCUU
Molecule: non-coding RNA, 620 nt
Organism: Chroicocephalus ridibundus (black-headed gull)
Lineage: Eukaryota; Metazoa; Chordata; Aves; Charadriiformes; Laridae
Source: the annotation of a RefSeq genome assembly